This 1335-nucleotide unclassified non-coding RNA is filed under the name Hevea brasiliensis (rubber tree). Lineage: Eukaryota; Viridiplantae; Streptophyta; Magnoliopsida; Malpighiales; Euphorbiaceae. The record is from RNAcentral.
UCCUCUUCCUCUUCCUCUUCCUCCAAGCCUCAAUUCCCCAAGAUUCCAUUUCUCUGUUUCCCGUCAAACCCCCGCCGCUCCCUCAGAAUACCCUCCAUGUCCGUUUCCAAAACGAAUCAUCGUUUCGGCACCCCACAAUCCCUCUCUGAAUGGCUUAAGCCUCGAUUGCCUUCCGACUCCUUGGCUUCUUGGGGUGUCAAACCCGGCACCAAAAACGUUCACAACCUAUGGCUCGAGCUCUCUGAAGGUGAAACCUUCCUCGCUGACUCCACCCCUCCAAUCCGCACUGUCAGCGUUGUUACGGUCCGAAUCAUCGGUAAAAACAAUCAAAUUCUUGUUGAAUCUCAUCAAGAAUUAUCGGAUGGUGGUGUAAGGAAUCGGUGCAGACCCUUAUCGGAGAAAAUGAAGCCCAACGAGACACCUGAAGCUGCUGUCUAUCGUGCUAUAAAAGAAGAGCUUGGAUCGAUCAUAAAUGACGGUGGACUUGUGAGGAUUGUGCCUGGUUCCUACAAGGAGAAGGUUGAGGAACGGAAUUCGAUGUCAUACCCUGGCCUGCCGGCUCGUUAUGUCUUACAUUCUGUGGAUGUGACGGUGGAUGGGUUGCCUGAGGGAGAGUUUUGUACGGAAGAGGUGGAGGAGUAUACUGAUUCUGAAGAAAAGAGGGCUGCGGAUAAGGCUGUGUUUGUGAAGAAGCAUUUCUGGAAAUGGGUUAGUUCUGAUUCGGUUCAAUCUUGAUAUAUGGCAAUAUGGAUCUUCAGCUUUUGGCUGCAUUCUGACAAUUUUUGGUUAUACUACUACCUUUUACUUUUGUUGCUUUUGAUUUGAUUGGAUAAUGCUUCUUUUUGUGAUUAUGUUCUUUUGAGAUGCUAAAAAAUCAAUAUACUUGUCUUAACAUGUAUGAAUACUAAUUCUACGAAAAUUAGAGAUAUGAGGUUCAUCAUUAUACAUUUAGUUUUGUAAGUAUUUUUCAUAUCCCCUUUUCAAUUUUGGAUUGUGAUAGUACUCUAUUCUUCCAUUUCAAUCUUUACAUAGACCUCUGUUCAUUUACCUUUUGCAAUCGGAGCUUUGCUUAGUUACUGUGCUGCUUUGUGUUUGAACAAAGUGAGAAGAUUUUGGAUAUAUUUUAAUGAACCAGGGUACUGCCAUGAAGAUUUUCUGUGACAGUUGUUGGCAGCAGAUGAGCUUGAAGUAAAUAGCUAUGUUGUAAGGUUAGAGUUAUAUGUUAUCUUGAGGGAAAUUAGUUUUCUUUUGCAAGCUAAUAGCUGUAGUACCUUCCUGUGGCAACAGCUUUCUAUCAAUAUAAAUGUUAUGAUUUGGAUGUCCGUGGGAAUGAAG